CCUACGGGAGGCAGCAGUGAGGAAUAUUGGUCAAUGGACGCAAGUCUGAACCAGCCAUGCCGCGUGCAGGAAGACGGCUCUAUGAGUUGUAAACUGCUUUUGUACGAGGGUAAACCUAGAUACGCGUAUCUGUCUGAAAGUACCGUACGAAUAAGGAUCGGCUAACUCCGUGCCAGCAGCCGCGGUAAUACGGAGGAUUCAAGCGUUAUCCGGAUUUAUUGGGUUUAAAGGGUGCGUAGGCGGUCUGAUAAGUUAGAGGUGAAAUGCCGAGGCUCAACUUCGGAAUUGCCUCUGAUACUGUUAGGCUAGAGAGUAGUUGCGGUAGGCGGAAUGUAUGGUGUAGCGGUGAAAUGCUUAGAGAUCAUACAGAACACCGAUUGCGAAGGCAGCUUACCAAGCUACGUCUGACGCUGAUGCACGAAAGCGUGGGUAGCGAACAGGAUUAGAUACCCGUGUAGUC
Molecule: ribosomal RNA, 460 nt
Filed under: uncultured bacterium
Lineage: Bacteria
Description: partial 16S ribosomal RNA
Rfam family: Bacterial small subunit ribosomal RNA
Source: RNAcentral